CUUUGACAUAGAUGAGGGCUUCAGUAGUGCCUUAGAAGCUCUAAACGUUCAGGUUCAAGCUCCAAUUCAUGGA
RNAcentral lists this transfer RNA (73 nucleotides) under Amborella trichopoda. RNAcentral describes it as "tRNA AMTR_s00056t00278010". Lineage: Eukaryota; Viridiplantae; Streptophyta; Magnoliopsida; Amborellales; Amborellaceae. The record is from RNAcentral.